AGAGUUUGAUUAUGGCUCAGGAUGAACGCUAGCGACAGGCUUAACACAUGCAAGUCGAGGGGCAGCACGGGAGUAGCAAUACUUUGGUGGCGACCGGCGCACGGGUGAGUAACGCGUAUGCAACCUACCUAUCAGAGGGGAAUAACCCGGCGAAAGUCGGACUAAUACCGCAUAAAACAGGGGCACCGCAUGGUGAUAUUUGUUAAAGAAAUUCGCUGAUAGAUGGGCAUGCGUUCCAUUAGGUAGUUGGUGAGGUAACGGCUCACCAAGCCGACGAUGGAUAGGGGAACUGAGAGGUUGGUCCCCCACACUGGUACUGAGACACGGACCAGACUCCUACGGGAGGCAGCAGUGAGGAAUAUUGGUCAAUGGGCGGGAGCCUGAACCAGCCAAGUCGCGUGAAGGAAGAAGGAUCUAUGGUUCGUAAACUUCUUUUGCAGGGGAAUAAAGUGCGGGACGUGUCCUGUUUUGUAUGUACCCUGAGAAUAAGGAUCGGCUAACUCCGUGCCAGCCGCAGC
Molecule: ribosomal RNA, 518 nt
Filed under: uncultured bacterium
Lineage: Bacteria
Description: bacterial SSU rRNA
Rfam family: Bacterial small subunit ribosomal RNA
Source: RNAcentral